UAGUGCUGCAAUGUUAAACAUUGUAGUUCCAGAGAAAAAAACUGCAAUGUUUACAUUGCAGCACUA
Non-coding RNA from Pelobates cultripes (western spadefoot toad), 66 nucleotides. NCBI's taxonomy places the organism in Eukaryota, Metazoa, Chordata, Amphibia, Anura, Pelobatidae. The record is from the annotation of a GenBank genome assembly.